UAUAAAAAUAUAUUGUAAAUGUAUAUUAUUUUACACGUAAAAUUUAUUGUAUCAAUAACAGACACUACCACUAUUAAGUUGGAGAAAACAAUUCUGGUAUUUUUACAAAAAUACACUGUUAUCAAUAAAAAUUCGCUACGUGAAAUGGCGCUUAACAAUUUUUAACAAAUAUUCAAAACAAAUGGAGGAAACAUCCCCUGCGCAAUAGUCAUAUGAUGCGGCAUAUGUGCACAUCUGCAUUUCGCAUAGGCAUGCCUAAAAGGGUACACGAAACUCGAUUAGAAAUCGGCAUUUUGCGCCAAAGCAUUGCGCGAAUGAAUCAUUUUCACGCUCUGAGAAAACUUGUGAGUAACUCGAGUGAAUAGAAGAGCAGCGGCGUUGCACGCGAAUGAUUAUCAUUACUGCAAUCAUGUCCCAACGUUCGUCUUUCACCGCAAGCUUUUCCGACAAAUGAUAAAGUCAUUUGCGCGAGCAAUUGCGGGGGAGAAGCCAUGAAUUCAAAUUGCUGCCACGAAUUUUUAAUUAAGAAGGAACGCCAUCACGGAUAAGCACGGAAACAGAGCAUCCUUGCAGAAAAUACAAUCGCGUCGUUAGAACUUCUCACCUUUUCCAAGCGCUUCCGCCUUUUUCCACGGCGUCGUUUAUAGCCAGAACAACUUGCUCGGAAUGCUUGCAACAGCAAUCGGCGAUACGCUCCUAUUUCUCAACAGACACAAUGAAACGAAACUCACUUGAUGUCUUUCCCGAUCUCAUUGUUAUAUUCCUCGUUAUCGCGACAGUCGCGCGCAGCACUCGGGUGAUUUUUCUCGUUUUCUGUAUUGCAACGUUGUUAAAAUUGAUUUCCACAUUUACUGCGUUUACUGGAGGAUACGACAUGGCGGAACUUGUUCUAUAUAGUUUGCGAUACUUGCAGUUUAACAUUCCGAGUCCUGUUUAAAAGUUUCUGAGAAGGUUGCGCACAGGUACGAGUGCAGGUUGUUACGAAAAGACUCACUUCCGUUUUUAUCAGUUUUUAUGUCUUUUUUUCUUUUUCUUCUUCUCCUGCGAUAUCGCUACGACAUUUUCAUUUAUUUCAAUGCACACAAAAAAGCGCGAUAUCAUGAAUAAUUACGUUUAGCGUAUGCUUUAUUUUAUCAAACUACGUAAUGUUUUUGCUACAAAUAUUUGACAUUAAUAUGUUCUCCUUUUCCACGCUAGGGAAAGGAACAAAGAGAGAAAAGAGAGAACUUUUCUAUCUGGAUGUCUAAUUUUCAUACCAGUUCAGACAAUGGCAAUGUGAUUUAGUGAUAAAGCAUCAGAUUUGUAAUCACGAGGAACCAGUUCAAGUCCCCAUUUAGUCGCAGAAAUUUUAUUCGAAAUUGCGUCCUUUAUACAUCGAGUGGGAAGACUCGAGUAUGGAAAACUGAUAUCUCCAUCUUUCGAAAGAGACGUUAAAUCGCUGUGCUAGCCUCUUCCCAUCCAAUAGCUUCAUGAACUUCAUUAAGGUGCUGGAAGCAAAUCCCUUACACCCGAAACCUGAAAUAAUUAAAUGAAAAAGAAGACACCCGGACGGUCAAACCGAGAUGAGUGGGCAAUUCUUCUUUCUAUGCAAAUUUCAACAAUGGAAAGUAAAAAACGAAGAAAGGAAAGAAUCUAAGAAUUAAUGCGAAAUUUAAUAAUUAAGUGUGUUCACACAUCCAUGUGUCUUUUCCUAUUUUCAUUUAAUCAUUUUAAAUUUUGGGUGUAUAAAAGAUUAGUCUGUAACAUCUUAAUGAAAUUCAUAAAGCUGCUAGAUGAGGAGGAGGUAACACAACAGUUUACCAACUAUAUGUGGACCAGCGGUUUAACAUCUCGAAAAGGAAGGGGAUGAACUAAGAAGAAGAAGAAGAAGAGUAAUCUGAUUUUUAAUUUAAUCUAUUUUUAAUCUACUCUACUUGAGCAGACUUGAUAAUCAGUCGCACAUACUUUCUAUUACAUUGUAGUAAAAAGUUUAUCAGAUAACUAUUUUCUUUCAUAAUUUUACAAUAUUUAAUUUUUAAUGUUUUGAUACCUAUCUAAAUCUUUUUAUUGAAAUUCUGUUUUAAGUAAAAUCCAUUCAAGAGUAUGAGCAUGGAAUAAUGAUAUACGCUAUUUAAACCAUUUUAAUGCGUGAAAAGUUUUAUAUAAAACUUUAUUCGUUUAUACUGAAAUUAAAUUAUACAUGACUCUGUAUUAAAGCAAAUGGAUUUUAUUUUUCAUUUAUCCUAUUGUAUUAAUUUAUCCUAUUAUAGAUAUGUGGGUAGGUUGAAAGAAAAAAAUAUGAUUCUUGCAUGGUUACGUGUGUAAUCCGUUCUAUUUAUUAACAUUUUCAACACAUAUCGAGUUACAGCGAAUUUAAAAAGUGUAAUAUACUACAUUCGAAACUUUUCUCUCGAUUUUGCAGAACAUGAUCGAAAAAUAGAGCAUGAUAAAUGUAUGAGGAAAAUUUGGUUGAAAUCGGAAUAAAACACUAUCCCUGACAGUCAUCGAUACUAUGCUGAAUGUGAAUUUCCGCUUCGUGAACAGCAAAAAUGCAAAAUUGUGUCAUAUGAAAACAAUCCACCAAAGGACUUUGCUUCGAAGUGAUACUUCAAACAUAUCGAUUUUUGCGUAUCUCGAAGAAAUUCGACAAGUUUCGGGCACACCAAAGGAAACGACUAUUCUUACGGCAACAAUUCUAUUGAAGAGUAUCGUAAUUUUCAAGCUAGCAGGAAUGCAUAAUGUUCAGUUAAAAUUACAUAAUUAAUUAUUAAUUAUUAUAUGUAGCGAGAAGCAAUUAACUUUUAAGCUAAAAGAAAAAUAAUUUUUAUGAAGCAAGCUUUCUUUGAUUUAUGGAAAAAAUUAAAAUAAUAGCAUACCUUUUUCAUUACGUGAUAUGUUACAUUAUCAUUUACAUUAAUAUUUCGAAAUUUUAUAUAAAAUUGUUUUUAUGACAUAUGUUAUCAAUUUCUCAUAAAUCGGACAACGAAUAAAAUUCUUACUGCAACAGAGAUCAUCCAAAUGAUAACAAUAAAAAUACACCAGAUAAACAUAAGUGCUCUUAUGCCGCAUUUGCGUAAUAAGGUCACCUGUUACAUCACUUGUUACGUUGCAUGCAUGACGCUGACAAAUCGCGCGCGAAAAGUGGUUUUUCCAUUUACGCUUGCCCCGUCCAUUUUAAUAAACUAUGUCGAAUAAUCAUCGUCAACUCGCACUGUGCCAUGAAUGCGAAGCGAUACGAUAUCGAAUUAUUAAUCGAUUCCCUUGUUAAUACAAUUUCAUCACACAGUUUAGCGUUCCAUUAUCGAGACACGUAGUUUUUCUUCUAUUGUAUGUUAACAUUCGACAUGAUAUGUUUUUAUCUUAAUAACAGUUCUAUAUUAUAUUACAAUAUAACAAUAUAUCAAUAACGUAAUAUAUAUGCUCGUAUAUAUUUAUUUUCUAAUAAUAUGGCCCAAUUAACAUCGCAAGUAUCAAGCAUUAUCCAUGGAAAAUACACGGAAAACUCGCAUGUGUGAAUAAUAUGUACAAACACAAUCAUGAAAAUUAGUGAAUAAUUUCAAUAUUAUAGUUAUUAGUAGUAAUUGCUCGAUUUAAUAUUUCAUCGAGUGAGCAGGGUGCAUGAGUUACCGUGAGCGUAAAUGUGGCGCGAAACCUAUGUUGCAGGAUACCUUAAGGGCGCGAACACCGUGCUUCUGCAUAUAUCUCAAAGGAGGUAGGGCUCUAUAUGCGAACCUUGACUUGCAAAUUAGUUUAUUAUUUUCGCACUCGAGAUAACCGUAUCGUCACCUACCUUUAGAGACGUACGACGAGGUAAUGCGCCUGACCCACAGGCGAAGUACAGCCCUGUAAUUGGACACCGCUAAUGCAUCCCACCCCCGUUCGUCGAACGUGGAUGGAAUAAGGUAGCUGCGACGAAGUCGACCGCGGAACGGAAACUACGAGAGGAGGACAAAGACGACGCGGGAGGAAAAGCCUCCUGCUGGUGCGAUGAGUGUCGUUAUUUAGUUUGAUCGUGCGACCGAUCUAUUCUCCUCUACCACGGCUGGUAUCUUCCAUCUCGAUUCGUCGCGACGCUCCGAUGGCGCCUCGUCCAGUUUUCCCGCUCAGUCAUGUCUCUCUUGCCUUCGCUCUUGAUUUUUCCGACAACGUCCAACCGUUUUCACAUGGUUUCCUCGCCGCAUGAUGCACUCGGCUGCAUUUCCAUUCGCAUCUACGUCGACCGCUUCACGGUUUAGCAUUUUUAUUUUCCGCGAGGCUUCUCCUUUCUCUCGUCCAUUCGAAGCUAGCUCUGCUCGUUCCGUCGACUAUAAUGCGCACGCGUUUUCUCAUACUUGUCUCUUCACCCUCCUGUCCUAUUUGCCCCUUCCUUCCAUUGCCAUGCCUUCUAUCUCCCCGGCGUUUACUUCCCGUUUCCAAACCGAAUCCCCAUUCUUUGGUAUCUACUUGAACGUGAAGCACAACCGUGCCCACUUCAAACCGCGAUGACCUAGAUACGACCUUAUCGCUCGAUCCUAUAACGCGUCGUUCUAUCGUACCCUGCCUCUCUCUCCGACUCAGAUUCCGCAGCUUCGGAGAGCUUUAAUUUCUCUCGCAGCUCAAAGAUGCUAAGCUCGAGAUAGGAUCGACGACCCUCGAACGUUUCAAGGGUUCGCAAUGGUACCCGGCACGGCCAUAUUUCGUUCUUGCGAGAGAGCGCGAUAAUCCAGCCAAACUUUCAUUUACCGAAGAUGGUACUCAAUUCGAGCUCGAAGACAAAGAGGGAGGACAAGGAGAGAGGAGUGGCCUCGAUAAAUGGCACCAAAGAAAUUGAAUCUAUUACACGGCAGAUUCGACGAUGAAACGCCGAAGGGGUUUAUCCUGUUCCGCGCCACUAUUCUCCAAAGUCGAAUGUUCUUUUCGGCCACCCUUUCGCGCUCCUCCAUGGAUAACAAAAAACUCGAUAGGAUCGCUCAUUAUACAGCGUAUAAAUCCAACAUCACGUCACAUUGACCUCUUAUUGAAAAAUUCCACGUGCAGAGAUGAAAACCCAGCCCUGCGACUUACGAGACUCUUGUACAUGUAAUUGCACAAGAGCAUCACAGCAUAAAUUGAGGAUUUCAACCAGAGUGACGCGCGUCCGACAGUUUACAGUAAAUCAAAUAACUGGCACCAGCAAGCUAAAAAGUUUGACGUUAAACGGAUUUCUGGCGCGACGAUAACCAAGGCUUCGUUUACCAAAGGAUGAGACGAGCCUGGAUGUAGGGAGAAAUAGAAAUUGAAUAUAUUACAACCCCGAAGCGUCGCCGUACAAGGCCAAAGCGCAGGGUCGUCUAUCUUACUGAUUUUCUUUGCAAACUCGCUCGCUCCUUAGGCGAUGCAUUCACAUCGCCUCUGAGCUCAGAAUAUUGCCAGCUAUAUGGCGUUUAUUACUGACGAAUAAAUCACUUGUGAAUUUCAUGCAGGCUUGUUUAUUUUAUAUGUGAUUUUAUGCAUAUCAUGUAUAUUGGUACGAUUUAUUUAACAUAACAUAAUUAAUAUUUAUAUAUUAAAUGUAAAAUGUAUUUAGUCAAUCAGAAUGUCUAACGAAAAUACAUUAGUUAUUUAUUAUUUUCUUGUUUGUGAUUACUUUUGUCUGACUUCAUCGAGAUUUUAUUAAUCUCGAUUUAAGUAAUUUAUAUUGUUAGGCGUAUUUUCGUCUUUGCCGAUUGAUAAAAAUAAAAUCUCCUCAAAGUUACACCGAUAUUUACCUUUAAUUGGAAAUUCAUCAAAGUUGUAUAAUUUAUGAAAAAUAUAAAAUUUCAAAGAAAAAAA
RNAcentral lists this long non-coding RNA (5769 nucleotides) under Ooceraea biroi (clonal raider ant). Its description in RNAcentral is "uncharacterized LOC105281151, transcript variant X2". The record is from RNAcentral. Lineage: Eukaryota; Metazoa; Arthropoda; Insecta; Hymenoptera; Formicidae.